RNAcentral lists this ribosomal RNA (497 nucleotides) under uncultured bacterium. RNAcentral describes it as "partial 16S ribosomal RNA". The stretch from base 20 to 341 matches the Rfam family "Bacterial small subunit ribosomal RNA", at positions 47 to 358 of the family's 1533-position model. The record is from RNAcentral.
GAUGAACGCUGGCGGCGUGCCUAAUACAUGCAAGUCGAGCGAACGGACGAGAAGCUUGCUUCUCUGAUGUUAGCGGCGGACGGGUGAGUAACACGUGGAUAACCUACCUAUAAGACUGGGAUAACUUCGGGAAACCGUAGCUAAUACCGGAUAAUAUUUUGAACCGCAUGGUUCAAAAGUGAAAGACGGUCUUGCUGUCACUUAUAGAUGGAUCCGCGCUGCAUUAGCUAGUUGGUAAGGUAACGGCUUACCAAGGCAACGAUGCAUAGCCGACCUGAGAGGGGGAGGGCCAACAGGAGAAGGGAGACGGGGCCAAGACUACGGGGGGAGGAGGAAGGGGGAAUUCGUCGGAAAGGGGGGAAAGCGGAAGAGAGAAGGGCGGGGGGAGGAAGAAAGGUCUAGGAAUCGAAAAACUCUUUAAUGGGGAAAAAAAAUAUGUGAAAGAAAGUGGACAAAGUGGGAGGGAACAAAAUAAGAAGGCAAGGGCAAGCUAGGUG